UACGGAGGUGGCAAGCGUUGCUCGGAAUCACUGGGCGUAAAGGGCGCGUAGGCGGGGAGGUAAGUCGGGUGUGAAAUCCCUCGGCCCAACCGAGGAACUGCGCCCGAGACUGCUUCUCUUGAGUCCCGGAGAGGAGGGUGGAAUUCCCGGUGUAGCGGUGAAAUGUGUAGAGAUCGGGAGGAACACCGGUGGCGAAGGCGGCCUUCUGGACGGUGACUGACGCUGAGGCGCGAAAGCGUGGGGAGCAAACGGG
This 253-nucleotide ribosomal RNA is filed under the name uncultured bacterium. Its description in RNAcentral is "partial 16S ribosomal RNA". It matches the Rfam family "Bacterial small subunit ribosomal RNA", at positions 524 to 776 of the family's 1533-position model. The record is from RNAcentral.